ACUUUUUCGCAUCGGUUACUAUUUUCUAUUAUCAUUUUGGUGGCUGUAUUCCGUACCGGUGACGUUUGACAUUUGAUAGUUCAUCAAAUAGCAGCGGUGUUAUCGCGCUGCAAAAUUUGGUCACCUAUGCGCGUUUAGUAGCGACCGGUAAAGUGUCAAGUAAUGAUACUGGGCUGGCAAACGGCUUAUACUCACCACCGAAAUGAAGCUUAUGAUGAAAUACUGAUGCUUGGCCAAUCUCACCCACGAGAUAUAAUAAGAACUGAUGCAGGUUUAUAACUACAUGUAUUGUAUCCGGAACAAAGUUAGUACGUCUUUUAUACCGAAGUUGGAUUUUUCUCCAGAUACAGGCAACUUACCCAACUUCGAAAGUAGUGCGCUGGAUUCGCCUAAAGAUGCGCUAAACAACGCAUCAAUUAGUUUGACAGAUAAAACUUUGGAAGAAAGUUCGGUUCGGAAGUCCCGACAGCAAAGCGAGGUAAAAUGAGUGAAAAUGAAGUUUAAACUGAUUUAAAAUUAAAUUGAAAA
Molecule: long non-coding RNA, 528 nt
Organism: Armigeres subalbatus
Lineage: Eukaryota; Metazoa; Arthropoda; Insecta; Diptera; Culicidae
Exons: 3
Source: RefSeq, a predicted model, not a curated record